AGAAUCAACGCUGGCGGCGUGCCUAACACAUGCAAGUCGAACGAGAAAGGGUAGCAAUACCUGAGUAAAGUGGCGCACGGGUGAGUAACACGUGACUAACCUACCUUUUAGUGGGGGAUAACCUAGGGAAACCUGGGCUAAUACCGCAUAAUACCUACGGGUCAAAGCAGCAAUGCGCUGAUAGAGGGGUCGCGGCCGAUUAGCUAGUUGGCGGGGUAAUGGCCCACCAAGGGCAGUGAUCGGUA
Molecule: ribosomal RNA, 245 nt
Filed under: uncultured bacterium
Lineage: Bacteria
Description: partial small subunit ribosomal RNA
Rfam family: Bacterial small subunit ribosomal RNA
Source: RNAcentral